Triticum aestivum (bread wheat) is the source of this 933-nucleotide long non-coding RNA. RefSeq lists it as uncharacterized. The transcript is spliced from 2 exons. The record is from RefSeq and is a predicted model, not a curated record. Lineage: Eukaryota; Viridiplantae; Streptophyta; Magnoliopsida; Poales; Poaceae.
UCGUCGCGUGUUUCAUGGUGGCCGCUAGGGUGCCCCUGCCGGCCAUCUGCCAUCUGCUCCAGGGGCCCCCUCCAGGAACACGCAGCGACUGCUAAGCCGUCGUCCUGUUUUGCUUCUCCCUACACAUCCUUACUAAGAGAAAGGGGCCUGCCCAGCUAGCAGCAGCUUCCUAGCUGGAAGAUGCAUAGCCAUAACGCACGCAUCGAUUAGGAGCAGUUUAUCACGCAGCUUGUACGCAUGCCGCCGCCGCCUUUUCGCCUCGUGCCUAUAUCGUGGCGGGUGAACAAGGGAAUCUCGCUGGAGACCCUUUUGGAAGGGAUCUCGGUGGCGCACUGCCGUUGCGUGUCGUUCGUCGGUAUAAGAAUUGCCGGACGGUCGAUGUCCGCUGUACGUUUCAUUAGCUAUAUGUUUCUGCAGUUUGAUAUAAUGUUUUUGUGGCGUAGAUCUACAAGAGAUCAAGAAGGGUGAUGUUCUGGAUGCUGAUCUCGACUAAUAGUUGCCGGAUGAACUAUGCAAUGACAGCAUGGAUGAGCUUUGUGUGCAGUUCACAUUUACCUGGUGGACCAUCACCAACCGGAUGGAGGUGAAGCAAGUGGUCAAGUCAGGGAAAUGCUCGAAAGGCUAUCGAGAAGAUCAACGAUCUUAACCCCACGAUCCUAAUUUCAGUUUGUACCUCGUUGUUGGGCUGUCAGAAAAGUUUGGAGCAGGAGCAAUGAUAUGACAAUUGUGGCUAACUUUCUUGUCAUUAGUCAUAUAUGUGCUAAUGGACCUUCCGGGUUCUCCAUUAUGUUUACCGGCCGGUUUCUCAUCUGAAAAAUACCCCAUAGCAUAGUGGACAAUGCUUUUUUUGGGUCAGUAGUAUUUCUACAUGAAACUAAGGUAUAUAUGCGUAUGAGAAAUGUGGCUUAUCUUUAGAUAAUGCUUUUUUUGUUA